This 721-nucleotide ribosomal RNA is filed under the name uncultured bacterium. RNAcentral describes it as "bacterial SSU rRNA". It matches the Rfam family "Bacterial small subunit ribosomal RNA", at positions 104 to 811 of the family's 1533-position model. The record is from RNAcentral.
GGGUGAGUAACACGUGGGUAACCUGCCCUAAAGUCUGGGAUACCACUUGGAAACAGGUGCUAAUACCGGAUAACAACAAUAGCUGCAUGGCUAUUGCUUAAAAGGCGGCGAAAGCUGUCGCUAAAGGAUGGACCCGCGGUGCAUUAGCUAGUUGGUAAGGUAAUGGCUUACCAAGGCGACGAUGCAUAGCCGAGUUGAGAGACUGAUCGGCCACAUUGGGACUGAGACACGGCCCAAACUCCUACGGGAGGCAGCAGUAGGGAAUCUUCCACAAUGGGCGAAAGCCUGAUGGAGCAACGCCGCGUGAGUGAAGAAGGUUUUCGGAUCGUAAAGCUCUGUUGUUGGUGAAGAAGGAUAGAGGUAGUAACUGGCCCCUAUUUGACGGUAAUCAACCAGAAAGUCACGGCUAACUACGUGCCAGCAGCCGCGGUAAUACGUAGGUGGCAAGCGUUGUCCGGAUUUAUUGGGCGUAAAGCGAGCGCAGGCGGAAAGAUAAGUCUGAUGUGAAAGCCCCCGGCUUAACCGAGGAAUUGCAUCGGAAACUGUGUUUCUUGAGUGCAGAAGAGGAGAGUGGAACUCCAUGUGUAGCGGUGGAAUGCGUAGAUAUAUGGAAGAACACCAGUGGCGAAGGCGGCUCUCUGGUCUGUAACUGACGCCGAGGCUCGAAAGCAUGGGUAGCGAACAGGAUUAGAUACCCUGGUAGUCCAUGCCGUAAACGAUG